RNAcentral lists this ribosomal RNA (253 nucleotides) under uncultured bacterium. Its description in RNAcentral is "partial 16S ribosomal RNA". It matches the Rfam family "Bacterial small subunit ribosomal RNA", at positions 524 to 776 of the family's 1533-position model. The record is from RNAcentral.
UACGUAGGGGGCAAGCGUUAUCCGGAUUUACUGGGUGUAAAGGGAGCGUAGACGGCAGUGCAAGUCUGGAGUGAAAGGCGGGGGCUCAACCCCCGGACUGCUCUGGAAACUGUACGGCUGGAGUGCAGGAGAGGUAAGUGGAAUUCCUAGUGUAGCGGUGAAAUGCGUAGAUAUUAGGAGGAACACCAGUGGCGAAGGCGGCUUACUGGCCUGUAACUGACACUGAAGCUCGAAAGCGUGGGGAGCAAACAGG